UUGACCUCAAAUCAGGUAGGACUACCCGCUGAACUUAAGCAUAUCAAUAAGCGGAGGAAAAGAAACUAACAAGGAUUCCCUUAGUAACUGCGAGUGAAGAGGGAAAAGCUCAAAUUUAAAAUCUGGCGGUGUUUCACUGUCCGAGU
Molecule: ribosomal RNA, 146 nt
Filed under: Amanita silvicola
Lineage: Eukaryota; Fungi; Basidiomycota; Agaricomycetes; Agaricales; Amanitaceae
Description: partial 28S large subunit ribosomal RNA
Rfam family: Eukaryotic large subunit ribosomal RNA
Source: RNAcentral